UUGAGUAAGAUUCAGUUACUUAACCCUUUUCUGACUCAGUUUUGUAAUCUAUUCAAAUGGUUAGGGAGGGACUAACAUUUAUCUUGCAGUUUUUAUAAAGUCUGGGUAAGAUAGAUUUAUGAAAACAUGUAAGACAGUGACUGGUACAAAAUUAAUGAUCAAUGCAUCCAAGUUUCCUUUCUCUCCUUUUCCUUUAUAAAGAACAUGUUAAAUAAUCAAUUCAAAGUGAGCAAUCUCUAUGUUUAAAAAUAUACUUAAGCUGGAUCCUUCAACAGCAUAUUUUCAAGCCAAAUGUGAGUCAAAUUAAAUUCUGGUCUUCAUGAGAUUGUGUUUUUACCACAAGAAAGGCUCUCCAACUAGGGUUGAUGGUGAUAAGAGGAAUUGGGUGUUAGAGGGCGUGGUGUACACAAAGUACCAAAGGCAUAAUCUGUCUUGUUUAAGGAAUUCUAUAGAAUUACAAAAGAGUUUAGUCAACUCCCACAGGCACAUAUGAAUCGUGAGGUUCGUAACAACGGCUGGUAAAGGAAAGGAUGCUAUGAAAACAAGAGAAACUGAAGCCUCAAUAUAAAGGAGUCUACCACCAUCUCUGGCACUACCCAGCCACAUUCACAACACGCAACCUGAGCAUGUGGGCACGCUGUACAAAGAAAGUCCAAUGGCUCCUGCACCUCACCUUUGAGGACUCACAGUUAGGUCAUCCUGUCACACACCUUUUUAUUAAAAAGGUGUGUCACACCGUAUGCAGAGACUCAUAUGCUGUAAGACAAAUCCAAGCUAGUACCUAAAUGUAUUUUCACAAUGCCAGGAGAUUUUGUUUUUGCAAGGCUUGGGGUCAAAUGGGAAAGCCAAUGGUUCCCACUCACUGUGCAAAAUGAAGAGGGAAUAGCAAUCUGAUCAAAGAAAUAGUGGCUGAGCCAUCAGGAGGCAGGGACCUGAGCCUUGCUCAGGCCACUGUGUACCUGUAGGACCUAGGACAAGUCCCCUCAAUACAGAGCUUCAAUUUCCCCACCAGAGUGCUCUAAAUAACAAUUCUGACCUGUACCUCCAAGGAAGGAGAUAAUAAACACAAAAUGCUUUGCAAUCUUCCUUAAGGCAGUGUUGCAUAUAUCCCAGUCAUUACUACCACUAAUCCGCUAAGAUGACAGUACCUUCGGGAAGGCAGUCAUCACCUGGAAGAGAGAGAGCUAUUAAUCACCUGAAAUCCCUCAACUGUGUCAAGUAAAGGGCAAGUGAAAGAUGCACGAACUACAGUCCUGGUGUCAGGAUGAUUUUGUACAAGCCUCACGCCUUCACCAUGAACACUCUGCUUCCAGAGUGUUCCAGAAAAACAUGAUUCUAGAAUCCAAGCAACCUCACUUCUAUGAGAAGAUACGGUCUUGAGGUGUGUUACCUCUCUGGAGGCUUUAAACCUCGGCAACACUGUUGUGAUCCCCACCUGAGCUGCAGGACAUGUGCAGGAUUGCGGUGUCAACGUAACCAGGAGGAGAGACGCUCAUGUUAACCGAGGAAGCCACUUCCAACCUGGGAUUACACCGUGCCUUCCUAAAUCCAGACUGUAACUUUGAUCUGAGACCUCGCCUCUAACUAAUGCGGUCACGGGCAGAUCAAAUGUUUAGAUUGAUAAAUGCGGCUUACCGGUGUGGCGUAAAGGACUCGCUCAUUGACAGAGCCCAAGAUCCAAAGUUAAAAACCACAGAUAUAAAAAACAUGUGCAAAGCAGUUAAACAUUUGAGAAAAUAUUAGCAGAAAAGGAGAAAAUUCUUCUGAGAAAAAUCUACCAUUGAUAGAACACUUUUGUGAGGUAUUUUGUAAUUCAUCUCAUAAUGAAGAAAAGUGGGCAUAGAAGGAUUAAAGGGAGGUUAAGGAAAGAGUCAAACAGCAACAACCUCCUUCCAAAUUCCACUGUGCCUCAUGAAAUCUCAAGAGAGUUUCAAAAAUCAACUAUCUGAAUGAGCCAUGAAAUGAACACUAUCACACUCAGCUAGAGAGUGUGUAAACUGAAACAACCAUUCUGGAAAACAAUUCCAGGAUUUCUCGCAGAAGCCUUGAAAAAGUUUUUAUAGUUUAACCUAGUAAGUCUAUGCCUGGGAGCCAAUUACAUAAAUAUAAGCCAAGAUCUAGAGAUACAACUUUGCAGAGAAAUAUUCAUUGCAACAGUAUGCAUUAUGCAAGAAAACAGGCUCUCGUGAGCUAUCAGGUGAAAAUUUUCUCCACUUAAAGAUGAGAAUUUGUUAAGGGGCAUUUCAGAGUUCCUGAGUCUCACCUUUAGUGAACUUCCCCCUAUUGCUCACACUUUGGAAUGGGACAGCCAGAGAGAAGAACCCUUUAUUCCUCUGUCAGCGUGAUUCAUGUUCCAACAUCUGAAAUGAAGAGGAUCCUUUCCUGACUAGAUCUCAGUAAGACAACCACGAAGGCAAACUGACAACCUGGGCUUCUGCUGUCAGAGAUUUGCACAUCAAUCAAAGAGACUCCAUAUGGCAUCUGCUUGUAGUGAUCUUGUCACUUACCAUCAACAUCACAUUAAAUCCUUGCGGUAAAAAGGGGUUCGUUUCCCCACAUUCACAAACAGAUGAUCUCUGAUUUCAUCCCCAGACGGCUCACUUUGGGAAGACAGCAUGGUGCAACAGUGUCUCCUGCUGCUGAUUAGCGUGGUGACACGUGGGCAUGGCAGGGACUUACUCCUUGGUAGUCCUCAACUUUAUUCCAGUGUAUACUUUCCCUACAUUCAAUUAAAGUAUGCUUUGCCUUUUGCAUUGCUCAUUUCAAAAUGUAAAAAUAGCAUUUGUCUCCGGUAUUAGAACUCUUCUAUUCUUUAGCAAUUUUUCACAUGCUUUUGAUCUUUCCCAUGUUCACUCCCACAUUCACGCUCAUCACUCCUGCCCUCACCUCCACAAAGCAAUACACAAUGGCUACUUAAACUUGGAGAACGGGGAUAUCAACAGAAAAAUCCGAAGUUUAGAUGCCAGAGAGAAAAUGACUGGUGUCAGGAUAUAUCCUGAUUGUUUCACAGGUUUGGCGCCACAUGCAGUGGGAAAUCACGCUGGACCUGUGCCACCACAACCCACACAAGUACUAGCUGGCUUUUUAGUAUGACCUCAGAGCCUUGAUGGAAGAAAAAUCCAUGUCUGGGAGCAAUCACACUUGAGCAUCUAUCUUCCUCGGAUGUAAUUUUGUGAAUCUGAAGUGAUAAAAAGAAGUUGUGACUUUUGACAUUACUGAAUAAAUUCUGAGGCACUGUUGGAAUCAAUCAGGUUACUUCUUUCCCUGAAAUAAAUCCAGUAU
Molecule: non-coding RNA, 3282 nt
Organism: Microcebus murinus (gray mouse lemur)
Lineage: Eukaryota; Metazoa; Chordata; Mammalia; Primates; Cheirogaleidae
Source: RefSeq, a predicted model, not a curated record